GGGGUUGUAGCCCAGUGGUUGAGUGCUUGCCUCGCACGCGUGAGAUCCUGGGUUCGAUCCCCAGCAUCACAU
RNAcentral lists this transfer RNA (72 nucleotides) under Ictidomys tridecemlineatus (thirteen-lined ground squirrel). RNAcentral's name for it is "Spermophilus tridecemlineatus (thirteen-lined ground squirrel) tRNA". It matches the Rfam family "tRNA". Rfam says of the family: Transfer RNA (tRNA) molecules are approximately 80 nucleotides in length. Their secondary structure includes four short double-helical elements and three loops (D, anti-codon, and T loops). The record is from Rfam by way of RNAcentral. Lineage: Eukaryota; Metazoa; Chordata; Mammalia; Rodentia; Sciuridae.